GAGUUUGAUCAUGGCUCAGGAUGAACGCUGGCGGCGUGCUUAACACAUGCAAGUCGAACGAACCUUCGGGUUAGUGGCGGACGGGUGAGUAACGCGUGGGAAUCUGCCCUCAGGAGGGGGAUAACGGUUGGAAACGACCGCUAAUACCCCAUAUGCCGAGAGGUGAAAUGAAUUUCGCCUGAGGAUGAGCCCGCGUCUGAUUAGCUUGUUGGUGAGGUAAUGGCUCACCAAGGCAUCGAUCAGUAGCUGGUCUGAGAGGAUGAUCAGCCACACUGGGACUGAGACACGGCCCAGACUCCUACGGGAGGCAGCAGUGGGGAAUUUUCCGCAAUGGGCGAAAGCCUGACGGAGCAACGCCGCGUGAGGGACGAAGGCCUCUGGGCUGUAAACCUCUUUUCUCAAGGAAGAAGAUAUGACGGUACUUGAGGAAUAGGCCACGGCUAAUUCCGUGCCAGCAGCCGCGGUAAUACGGGAGUGGCAAGCGCUAUCCGGAAUUAUUGGGCGUAAAGCGUCCGCAGGCGGCCUUUCAAGUCUGCUGUUAAAGCGUGGAGCUUAACUCCAUCAUGGCAGUGGAAACUGAUUGGCUUGAGUAUGGUAGGGGCAGAGGGAAUUCCCGGUGUAGCGGUGAAAUGCGUAGAUAUCGGGAAGAACACCAGUGGCGAAGGCGCUCUGCUAGGCCAUUACUGACGCUCAUGGACGAAAGCCAGGGGAGCGAAAGGGAUUAGAUACCCCUGUAGUCCUGGCCGUAAACGAUGAACACUAGGUGUCGGGGGAAUCGACCCCUUCGGUGUCGUAGCUAACGCGUUAAGUGUUCCGCCUGGGGAGUACGCACGCAAGUGUGAAACUCAAAGGAAUUGACGGGGGCCCGCACAAGCGGUGGAGUAUGUGGUUUAAUUCGAUGCAACGCGAAGAACCUUACCAGGGCUUGACAUCCUGCGAACCUUUAAGAAAUUAGAGGGUGCCUUCGGGAACGCAGUGACAGGUGGUGCAUGGCUGUCGUCAGCUCGUGUCGUGAGAUGUUGGGUUAAGUCCCGCAACGAGCGCAACCCACGUUUUUAGUUGCCAGCAUUUAGUUGGGCACUCUAGAAAGACCGCCGGUGAUAAACCGGAGGAAGGUGUGGAUGACGUCAAGUCAUCAUGCCCCUUACGUCCUGGGCUACACACGUACUACAAUGCUACGGACAAAGGGCAGCAAACUCGCGAGAGCUAGCAAAUCCCAUAAACCGUGGCUCAGUUCAGAUCGUAGGCUGCAACUCGCCUACGUGAAGUAGGAAUCGCUAGUAAUCGCAGGUCAGCAUACUGCGGUGAAUACGUUCCCGGGCCUUGUACACACCGCCCGUCACACCAUGGAAGUUGGCCACGCCCGAAGUCGUUACUUUAACCCUUGUGGAGAAGGACGCCGAAGGUGGGGCUGAUGACUGGGGUGAAGUCGUAACAAGGUAACC
RNAcentral lists this ribosomal RNA (1445 nucleotides) under uncultured marine cyanobacterium. Its description in RNAcentral is "bacterial SSU rRNA". It matches the Rfam family "Bacterial small subunit ribosomal RNA". The record is from RNAcentral. Lineage: Bacteria; Bacillati; Cyanobacteriota.